This 253-nucleotide ribosomal RNA is filed under the name uncultured bacterium. RNAcentral describes it as "partial 16S ribosomal RNA". It matches the Rfam family "Bacterial small subunit ribosomal RNA", at positions 524 to 776 of the family's 1533-position model. The record is from RNAcentral.
UACGAGGGGGGCGAGCGUUGUUCGGAAUUAUUGGGCGUAAAGGGUGCGUAGGCGGUUUGGUAAGUCUUGUGUGAAAUCUACAGGCUCAACUUGUAGUCUGCACGAGAAACUGCCGGGCUUGAGUGUGGGAGAGGUAAGUGGAAUUCCCAGUGUAGAGGUGAAAUUCGUAGAUAUUGGGAAGAACACCGGUGGCGAAGGCGGCGACCUGGUCCUUUACUGACGCUGAGGCGCGAAAGCGUGGGGAGCAAACAGG